CUUGAAUUCUAGAGGGCAUUGGGGGUUGGGUGGCUUAGGGUGGCUUAGAGAAGACAGUGCAACACAAAAGCAUUUGCUAGGUUAUGGGGAGGGGUGUGGGGGGACGCUAUGCUUUAAGAGCCAUAAGAUGACUGGAGUGAUCACACAAAAAGGAGAUUUUCUAAUUCCAUUGGAGCUAUAAUCUGAUUUCGCUGUUGAGUACAAUGUCCCUUUCACAAGAAUCUGAAGUCAGUAUCAAGGGCUGCGCUGCAGAAGUUUUCCACCCAGCAACAGGAUGAUGUCAGCGGCCAGAAAGAACAACCAAUCAGCAAGCAGAAUGAAUUAGAGUGUACUGGGAUUUUGCUCAACUGUCUCCUAGCAAAGCUAGCUCAGCUCUAAAGUGCAGGGGCUAUUUGCACUUCCUCUGCACUUGAAGCUGAGACUGAAUGGCUUCUUAACUGAAAGGGUACCUAUGGAUGUGCAAACAGUUAUGAUUAUUUUUGUUGAAACAGUCCUAUGGGUAAUAAGAGUCAUAACGUUGCUUUUCUGCAAGUGUUGUUUUUUUUUGGGGGGGGCAAUGAAAAAGUCAACAUUAAUAAAUAUUUUAAAGGUUUGAUUUAUAGAUUUUGCCUUAUAAUUGUUUGGAACUUGUUUCAUGCAUUAAGUGCUGCUGAGCAGCUAAUGAGCUAA
Molecule: long non-coding RNA, 669 nt
Filed under: Marmota monax (woodchuck)
Lineage: Eukaryota; Metazoa; Chordata; Mammalia; Rodentia; Sciuridae
Source: RNAcentral